CAAAAUGGCCGCGUGGUGGUUCCCUCGAAGAGCCAUGUAAGCGACGCCGCGAUGGUUUCCUUCUCCUAUUGGGCCGCAGCAGCAGCCGAGGUGACAUCCUGUGUUGAAGCAUGGAACUGUGAUGUUGAAAGCCCUUUGCCAAGUAGGAAGUUCCUCGAGGUUUUGUGGAAGAAGUCUUGCUCGGGAUGAACAAUACCGGCGCUGAACCCAAUCUGGAAAGGGCCCGCCGAGUUUCUACAGCAGUUCGAUUAUAUUAUCAGCACAUCGACAAUGGCUUCUGGUUUGAACCCACGUAGUGUGGCAUUUUGUCAUGCAAUUGAGGGGCUAGGAAAAGCUAGCCGGAUUCCAGAACCUACAAUUUGAUGUUCUCUAACUUCAUAUCGAUUGGAGAUUUAGAUGUAUGACACAGAUAGCGAUACUUGAUACCGAAUUGAUUAGUGUGUUUGGUGUUCCUCAAAAUUAGAAGAGUGGCAGAUGCACUUGAAUUAACUGAUGAUAUGCUUGGCCGAGGAGUUUUUCCCAACUUUGGGAUGAUUAAUCUUAGUUAAGACUACAUGCAGACUUACCUGAAAGUCAAAAGCAUACCUCUGAAUGCUAAUUCACAAAGCUAUUGGCAUCCCCGAGGUUGGUGUGUUUAACCAAUCUGUUUUGUGGUUGAUAUGCACAAUUCUUUUAUGAUGGCCUUAAACUUGAAUGGACUUUUAAAUGGGGAGGUUCGCAUCAAUCUGAUGCAGUCUUCAUUAUUACCCAAAGAAAACUAGAUUAGGUAUUGGUUCAAUGGAGGUAAGCCAGGAUGUAAACCAACGAUUCUAGCAUCCAACAAAAACAGGUUGAUACUUUAGCUGAGGCUCUGUUCUCCUGAUCAUAUGUGGAUCAGCAGUCAACCAAAUCAAUUAAGUUAUUUCUUGACAUUGUACAUUUUACAGCCUGAUUGGAUCCAAAUCAACUCUAAUCAGUUCCAAAGUUGACCAUUUUAGAACAUCAUUUAGUCUUAUAUGCUGUUGUAGCUUGCCACAUCUACAGACAAUUUCAUGGACUGUUCAUUUAUAAGGAAUGCAAGGGUAUAAAUGGUAAAUAUAGAGUUGUCUGUGGUUGCAUCUUAGGUCCUUUGUGUGGCUUUUAACAGAGGAUUUAAAAACUACCUUAGUAUUCCUUUUUGGAGGCUUGGUCCAUGUGUUUCUGGUCUCGGAUAUUCCUUUCUAGUAUUCGUUUGUAAAGAAUCUAUGUGGUUGAGAUUAAACUAUUGAAAUAAACAUAUAGAGUUAUUAGGAAAGAUAGAGAAAAAAAAGUUCUCAUAUGUCAACAAUUAGAUGUAGCUCUUAUAGAGGAUAAAAUGCGGAAUUGUUUAAGGUUGUGUGGACAUAUGCUAAAGAGAUAUAUAAAUGCUAUAUUUAGAACAAGUGAGACAAUUAGAAUUAGUGUUGCAAGGAGAGGUAGAGAAUGACUUGAGAAAUCUUUUUUAGGAACUAUAUAUUUUUAUUUCAAACAAGAAGAUCAAAAUAUCCAUAUAGACGGCCCCAAAUAGUUGGGACAUUAUGACUUAAUAUUAUUGUUGUUAUAAUCAUGAUAACUUAUGUUUAUUUUUUCUUAUAUUCUACAAAUUUCUCUGUGUGGAUAUUAAAUUUACUGCCUAUGAUUUCUUUCUUCCAAUCAGUUGUUGCCUUGGUCAUGGCUAAGAGGGUAUACAAGGCCAAAUAAUCUAUCCAGACUAUCUUUCCCAUGCUGCUUAUCUUUCAAGAUGUUACUUACAACGAUUUGAGAAAUAAAUUUGCUAUGAUAACGAACAAAUUUUCAUAGAUAUAUCACUUCACUGGGUCCUCUGUGUGUUCCUAACCUGUAUUUUUGCUUGCGUUUGAUAGUCUAUUCACCAGUAUCCUUUAUUCCUCGAUCAAGAUAAUGUUUGGCUUAUAUCUUGAAUGGAUGAUUAUGGUCAGCCAUGUAACAAUCUCAAUUUCCUUGGCCGCUAUCUGCAGAGUCAUGAUAGAUAGCCUUGGCUUCCAGG
Musa acuminata AAA Group (dessert banana) is the source of this 2002-nucleotide long non-coding RNA. RefSeq lists it as uncharacterized. NCBI's taxonomy places the organism in Eukaryota, Viridiplantae, Streptophyta, Magnoliopsida, Zingiberales, Musaceae. The record is from RefSeq and is a predicted model, not a curated record. The transcript has 2 exons.